RNAcentral lists this long non-coding RNA (647 nucleotides) under Rattus norvegicus (Norway rat). Its description in RNAcentral is "long non-coding RNA NONRATT018993". Lineage: Eukaryota; Metazoa; Chordata; Mammalia; Rodentia; Muridae. The record is from RNAcentral.
GGCUGGGAUGGGAGUUCAACGAACAGAGCCUGGAUCCCGACACCACCGCUUCAUUCAGAAAAACCUGACUGGAGCUGGUGGAGGUCAGGGACAGCCAGGAACCUCCUGUGGUGCCCAAAAGGUAUGGGGGAGGUACCCCCAAACAACUACUUGUUCCCUCCUCAGGCCCUACCCCCACUCCCCCUGCUCUGGCUUUCCUCCUUUUCCAACUCAGGAGAGUAGCAUUCUACUGUCUAUUGAGUCCUUGGGUCAGACCCUUCUUGGGAGUGUGGCUGGAGUACCCCACAAUGCAUUUGAGAAAGCGGCAUGGACAGUGGCAGUGCGCACGGAGGCAGUGAUGCGCAGACACUGCCGAAUAUCCUACAGGCAGAUCCAGCAGCCAAAGAAGCAGGCGGUACAGCCGCGCAGCAGUCGGAGGCGGCUCCUGCUACGCGCCCUAUACGCCGUCGCCACCUGCUGGGAAAAGCUCUUUGCGCUAAGUGCCUUGGCCACAGGCGAAUUCUAGCACUGUCCCUGUUCUCACUUCCUCUUCUCACAGAAGAUUGGAAACAAACUGAUUCGUGACAGCUCAGAUUGUCUGCACUCAGAGGUCCAGGAUGUGUAUACACCCACUGAGGCCCCAAUAAAUGGAGCUAAUGAUGGGACCU